This 253-nucleotide ribosomal RNA is filed under the name uncultured bacterium. RNAcentral describes it as "partial 16S ribosomal RNA". It matches the Rfam family "Bacterial small subunit ribosomal RNA", at positions 524 to 776 of the family's 1533-position model. The record is from RNAcentral.
UACGUAGGCAGCGAGCGUUGUUCGGAAUUACUGGGCGUAAAGAGUGCGUAGGCGGUUUUCUAAGUUUGGUGUGAAAUCCCUCGGCUUAACCGGGGAACUGCGUCUGAUACUGGAUGGCUUGAGUUUGGGAGAGGGAUGCGGAAUUCCAGGUGUAGCGGUGAAAUGCGCAGAUAUCUGGAGGAACACCGGUGGCGAAGGCGGCAUCCUGGACCAACACUGACGCUGAGGAGCGAAAGCCAGGGGAGCAAACGGG